Engraulis encrasicolus (European anchovy) is the source of this 1157-nucleotide long non-coding RNA. RefSeq lists it as uncharacterized. NCBI's taxonomy places the organism in Eukaryota, Metazoa, Chordata, Actinopteri, Clupeiformes, Engraulidae. The transcript is spliced from 3 exons. The record is from RefSeq and is a predicted model, not a curated record.
UGCAUAGACGUCCCUUUUCCCCAUUGUUUUCCAGCGCAGCGCAGGACGUAGUCUCGCCUGGUCUUGCUACUUAAUUGUGAUUUUUAACUAUCUUGCUGCUCACUUUUCUUUGCCACUAUUGUCCAUCGUUGUUGUGUUGUGGGGUGCAAUAGCGCAAGCCACCAUAGGAAAGGGGGAAUUGGAUUAUCUUUCUACUCAUUUCCUUCUUGGAGGCAGCACCAUGGUGACCAAGUCUCGGAUAUAACAAAGUGUCGUUGGCUAGCAUGGGUCGCUGCUGUAAGACGACCAAAAAUAACUUUCCACUCAAUCCUGACGAGUGUGCUCUCUGCAUUUUCAUUUUGGUACACCAGCAAAUGAAAUGAACACCUCCCAUCCGGAUUGGGCACCAUCACUGCACUUGGGGGACACCAAGACAGUCACCACCACCACCGAGACUUCUCGCUAUGAGACAGGAACAAAGAAAACGACGAAGGACUGAGAGCAUGGCGUCGAUGGAUGAGACACCCCUUGUUACACCAGUGGAGACAACUGGGGGAGCAUCAGCAUCAGCACCUGCAGGCCUAGAGGAUGAAGCUGACCAGGGGCCGGUGUGUGCUGAGGUAAAGAUCCCCGCCUUCACAAGAGGACACUGUCAAUUGGAAGCAAGAGAUGUGGAAAAAACAAGGACAAUUGCUCAUCUCCGAAUUCACGUGGAAAGGGUGAUUGGAACUGUCUGAAACAAAUACACAAUUUUGUCUGCAGAAGUGCCUAUCAACAUGGUGUUGCCAUUUGAAGGUGAAGAAAAAACAUUCCUUGACAAGAUUGUGUCUGUAUGUUGUACUCUGACCAUCAUGAGCAGGAGUGUUGUGCAAAGCUGAAGUUGACUGAAAUAAAUGUGCUUUGAGACUCAAGUGUGUAUAAUUUUAUUCACAAGUAAAGUAAUAAGACAAAAGUCAUUUCAAGUAUGUCGUUUUGAAUCACUGUAAAUACUGAAAGUGCAACUAGUGAUAACCUGAGAUCUUUAAGUACAGUAAGGCAAAAUGUUGUAAUUGUAUUGAAAUAUCUUAACAAUAGUAUUGACAUAAAUUCACAGUGCAACUUGAGAACCUGAGAGCACAAAACGGUGCAUUUGAAAAAGUACAAGGCAAAAUAUUAAUGUAAUGGUGGGGAGGGGGGGA